Long non-coding RNA from Erigeron canadensis, 1565 nucleotides. RefSeq lists it as uncharacterized. NCBI's taxonomy places the organism in Eukaryota, Viridiplantae, Streptophyta, Magnoliopsida, Asterales, Asteraceae. The transcript is spliced from 7 exons. The record is from RefSeq and is a predicted model, not a curated record.
UUUAAGUUCAGAGGAAUUUGCUAAUUGUCUGAUUUAGUCCUUGCCCACCGUGACUGUAGGAUGCUGUCAGAUAGGGCAGCUGGUCAUGUUUGGUUAGUAGCAUUUUAUGUAGUUCGUAUAAGUUUGUGUCAAAUGUUGAUGCUUCUGCAUUUUAGGGACGAGAACAGGCUCAUCAUAUCAUUUCCCUCAUGUUAAUGCUGCAGCUGUGGCAGUAGCAUUAGUGGCUAUGUUGAUGCUGGUGGUGGGUCCUAUUGGCCACUUUGGUGGCAUUUGAAGCACUACCAAUGUAUUUGGUGGUCAAAACGACUGCUUGGUGGGCUGGCUUUACUGAUGGCUUCUUAACCAACAUAGGUGUUGAGGUACCAUUUACCAGCUUAGGAAGUUAUAGCUCUAAACUUUGUGAAGAAAAAGAUGGAUGACUUCAAGAACCAGAAAUGUUUUACAUAAACGAUAUGCAUUGGGAAAUUUUAACGGCUUCGCCAUCUCUGGUUGACAAAUGGUCAGGUAGUUCACUUAGCAAGUCCAUUUGUUACUUACAUUCUUUGCAUUCAAGUGUAUGUCUCCAUCAGCUAUGCAUCUUGCCGUGGGAAUCACAAUAGCAAAAGCGUGAGCAAGAUUUAAGGAUUUGGGGGGAAGUCAGAUCUAAGUUUAGUGAUACAUUUGUGGAGCUCAUUGCUGAUGUUUUCUGCCAUUGAUCUCUUGCUAUUAUAUUAAGGAGAAGAUAUUUGUGGUUCAGGGGGGACUUUUCAGAAAUGCCAUGGUGAUUGAGCAAUUGAACGGCUUUGUGAACUCCCAGAAGAAGGUUAAUGUAUGAGAUAUUAUGAAGUGAUCCAUUCCCUAAUCCUGGUAGAGGACCAAAGCAAGCGUGGUGUGGGUCUCUGUUUUGGUGGAGAUGUUACCAAUAGGUUUCUGAAAGAUAAUAAACUAGUUGUUUGAUCUCAUGAGGUCAAGGAUGAAGACUAGGAAAUUGAGGAUGGUGGGAAACUUAUCACUGUUUUUCGAGCUACAGACUUAUCACUGAGCUCAAAGUAUUUGGAUUUAUCUAUUGGCUGAGAUGCAAAAUUCCAUAAGCAAUUUGAAUUGCACAGAGGGUGAUUAUUUUAAGCAUGACUUGGAUGGCAGAUUGGCAGUCAACAGAAGUCAUUAACCAUGACACUUUCUCGAAUGGAAUUUAAAUCAUGAAAAUGUGUUUGGUCUCUACGAUUGCUCAUAAUUGCUUGGCUUGCCACCAAUGUAUCACAAGGUUAAACAUUACUUGAUAUUAAUUGUUUGAUACUUGGCAUUCCAUUGAAAUAUUUACACAGAUCUCUUAUCGUUUUUAUUUAAAAGAAUAGGUUAUUUGCGUAGAUAAGUCAGCGAUAUACUUGUGAAAAAUUAUCUUUAUGUAAGACUUCGGCCUUUCCCGAUGGGGAUUUUCUCUACUAUUUUGUGGCUAUUUUUUCAGAAUAUGGGAAGGCACACAGAAAAAUGUGGGUUGAUCCUUGGAUUCUCAGAGGAUGAAAAUUCACAGUGUAUCAAGUUAUCACCGACUGUAAGGUGGCUAUUCUAAUUGUAUCGUUAUGUAA